Molecule: ribosomal RNA, 838 nt
Filed under: uncultured bacterium
Lineage: Bacteria
Description: bacterial SSU rRNA
Rfam family: Bacterial small subunit ribosomal RNA
Source: RNAcentral
GGGGGGGGCUACACUGCAGUGGUGCGACGAACCAGGGCUUGCCCUGGGGCAAAGCCGCGAACGGGUGAGUAACACGUGAGUAACCUGCCCCGAUGACCGGGACAACCCGAGGAAACUCGGGCUAAUACCGGAUGUGGCGCACAGGUCUAAGCCUGUUCGCUAAAGGAAGCUUCGGCCUCCGCAUUGGGAGGGGCUCGCGGCCCAUUAGCUUGUUGGUGGGGUAACGGCCUACCAAGGCAACGAUGGGUAGCUGGUCUGAGAGGACGAUCAGCCACACUGGGACUGAGACACGGCCCAGACUCCUACGGGAGGCAGCAGUGGGGAAUCUUGCGCAAUGCGCGAAAGCGUGACGCAGCAACGCCGCGUGGGGGAAGACGGCCUUCGGGUUGUAAACCCCUUUCAGGAGGGACGAAGGUUCACCGGUGAAUAGCCGUGUGGAUUGACGGUACCUCCAGAAGAAGCUCCGGCUAACUACGUGCCAGCAGCCGCGGUAAUACGUAGGGAGCAAGCGUUGUCCGGAAUCAUUGGGCGUAAAGCGCGCGUAGGCGGCCCUGUAAGUCCGUUGUGAAAGUCAAAGGCUCAACCUUUGAAAGCCGAUGGAUACUGCAGGGCUAGAGUCCGGAAGGGGCGAGUGGAAUUCCUGGUGUAGCGGUGGAAUGCGCAGAUAUCAGGAGGAACACCAAUAGCGAAGGCAGCUCGCUGGGACGGUACUGACGCUAAGGCGCGAAAGCGUGGGGAGCGAACAGGAUUAGAUACCCUGGUAGUCCACGCCCGUAACGAUGGGCACUAGGUGUGGGAGGUGUCGACUCCUCCCGUGCCGUCCCUAACGCACUAAGUG